UUCUCUUUUUGUGUUUCAGUGUGACAGCGACAGUGAUCAAGAAGAAAAGGAUGUUCCUUAUGCAGAGGAAGAUGAUAAACGGAAUUUCAGCUUCUCUGUUUAUGGCACCCAGAACUAAAAGUGCAAUUUCCUGUCACUGCAGCAUUUAUGGAGCUGAACCUCUGCCUGUCUCACUGAAUUUUUCUCUUGCAGCACUCCUGUGUAAAAAGGAAUCACUGUGUAAUAAAACUCCUAAGCACAUUUUCACAAGUGCAGAAGCACUAAUUCACCUUUGUAAGAGACUGAGAGGCAGAAGGACCCAGCAAUAUGCUGAGCAAUAAACCACCAUAGGGCUCUUUAACUGAUCGCUGCCUACAGCACUUGGAUAAAUUUCUAAGGACAUGCAGAACAAUGAAACAGUGAAGCA
Molecule: long non-coding RNA, 406 nt
Filed under: Ficedula albicollis (Collared flycatcher)
Lineage: Eukaryota; Metazoa; Chordata; Aves; Passeriformes; Muscicapidae
Description: lncRNA (ENSFALG00000021730.2)
Source: RNAcentral